UACGUAGGGUGCGAGCGUUAAUCGGAAUUACUGGGCGUAAAGCGUGCGCAGGCGGUUUUGCAAGCCGGAUGUGAAAUCCCCGGGCUUAACCUGGGAAUGGCAUUUGGGACUGCAAGGCUGGAGUGCGGCAGAGGAGACUGGAAUUCCUGGUGUAGCAGUGAAAUGCGUAGAUAUCUGGAGGAACACCGGUGGCGAAGGCGGCAUCCUGGACCAACACUGACACUGAGGAGCGAAAGCCAGGGGAGCAAACGGG
RNAcentral lists this ribosomal RNA (253 nucleotides) under uncultured bacterium. RNAcentral describes it as "partial 16S ribosomal RNA". It matches the Rfam family "Bacterial small subunit ribosomal RNA", at positions 524 to 776 of the family's 1533-position model. The record is from RNAcentral.